Musa acuminata AAA Group (dessert banana) is the source of this 974-nucleotide long non-coding RNA. RefSeq lists it as uncharacterized. The transcript is spliced from 2 exons. The record is from RefSeq and is a predicted model, not a curated record. Lineage: Eukaryota; Viridiplantae; Streptophyta; Magnoliopsida; Zingiberales; Musaceae.
CAUAAAAGGAAAAAGAUAGUGAUGGUGAUGAUUCGCUUGUUGGCAUAGAAAUUCUACAUAUUUACGUUGAGUUGAUGAUCCCAUGUUGAUUGCAAAAAUGCUGUUGACUGUAGUAAGCUAAAGAAGAAUGUUCUCAUCCGUUAUGGGUUGAGAUUGUUCCGUACGUAAUGCAAUAGUCGCCCAUCAAAGGCCCAUAUACUACUAUGGGCCAAUUGGCCGUGUCAUUGCUGCGUGCUUCCGUCGCGUUGACACGCUGACACGAGGGUGGUCGAGCUACAGGAGGGUUGGGCGUGCUGUUCUUCGCGGCGGAGCUGCUGCAGUUGCCGGUAGAGCGUUGGUGCGGUGCUUCUCGAGGAAGCAUAGCCCUGACAUCCGCAGAAUAAAUCCGAAGGUGCCGAGGGAGUAAGCCACCGCAAUCUCUCACAGCCUCUACCAGAUCGUCAAGGACCAUGGCCCCGUCUCCGUCUCCAACACUUGGAACCACGCCAAGGAAUCUAGCAUCAAUGGAUCGAACAGUAAAACCCAUAUGAAAAUCAUGCUGAAAUGGAUGAUGGGUAGGAAGAUGCUCAAGAUUUCAUGUACUCAUGUUGAUUCUGCAAAAGAAGUUUCACCGCUCUAUUCUGCCGGAAGAUCCUCAAGCUCUGCACCACCAUCUGACACACUGAAUGACUCUAGGCAAGGAGAAAAAAGCAGACACAAAGUACAUCAAAUAGGAGGGGGAUAUGAAGUAUGUUUCAUGCCACCGCGAAAAGGAUAAGCUGUGCUCAAUGUUGUGAGUGAACAACGUCAUUAUCUUGUCAUUAGAUAAACAUGUUUCAACCUCAACACCCUAAGUCCAUAAUUCAUGUGAAUCCUAAUGUAACGUUUUUAGCUUGUGAUGACCAAUUGUGAGCACGGUGUUUAUUAUGCUGUUAUUUAUUUUCAUGCUGACGAGAGCCUAUCUAAGUAUUAUUUCCAAAACUUGGUUCUUUUUA